This 837-nucleotide ribosomal RNA is filed under the name uncultured Comamonadaceae bacterium. RNAcentral's name for it is "bacterial SSU rRNA". It matches the Rfam family "Bacterial small subunit ribosomal RNA", at positions 57 to 894 of the family's 1533-position model. Lineage: Bacteria; Pseudomonadati; Pseudomonadota; Betaproteobacteria; Burkholderiales; Comamonadaceae. The record is from RNAcentral.
GCAAGUCGAACGGUAGAGGGGGCAACCCCUUGAGAGUGGCGAACGGGUGAGUAAUGUAUCGGAACGUGCCCAGUCGUGGGGGAUAACGUAGUGAAAAUUACGCUAAUACCGCAUACGAUCUACGGAUGAAAGCGGGGGAUCGCAAGACCUCGCGCGAUUGGAGCGGCCGAUAUCAGAUUAGGUAGUUGGUGGGGUAAAGGCUCACCAAGCCAACGAUCUGUAGCUGGUCUGAGAGGACGACCAGCCACACUGGAACUGAGACACGGUCCAGACUCCUACGGGAGGCAGCAGUGGGGAAUUUUGGACAAUGGACGCAAGUCUGAUCCAGCCAUUCCGCGUGCAGGACGAAGGCCUUCGGGUUGUAAACUGCUUUUGUACGGAACGAAAAAGCUUUUAUUAAUACUAGGAGUCCAUGACGGUACCGUAAGAAUAAGCACCGGCUAACUACGUGCCAGCAGCCGCGGUAAUACGUAGGGUGCAAGCGUUAAUCGGAAUUACUGGGCGUAAAGAGUGCGCAGGCGGUUAUAUAAGACAGAUGUGAAAUCCCCGAGCUUAACUUGGGAACUGCAUUUGUGACUGUAUAGCUAGAGUACGGCAGAGGGGGAUGGAAUUCCGCGUGUAGCAGUGAAAUGCGUAGAUAUGCGGAGGAACACCGAUGGCGAAGGCAAUCCCCUGGGCCUGUACUGACGCUCAUGCACGAAAGCGUGGGGAGCAAACAGGAUUAGAUACCCUGGUAGUCCACGCCCUAAACGAUGUCAACUGGUUGUUGGGUCUUCACUGACUCAGUAACGAAGCUAACGCGUGAAGUUGACCGCCUGGGGAGUACGGCCGCAAGGU